Molecule: long non-coding RNA, 2343 nt
Organism: Malaclemys terrapin pileata
Lineage: Eukaryota; Metazoa; Chordata; Testudines; Emydidae
Exons: 3
Source: RefSeq, a predicted model, not a curated record
AUGUGACCUCGCUGAAGAAGAGCUGUGGAGAGGCUGGAAGCUUCUGAUUUCUAUUAAGAGAGUUUAGAACUUUAGUCUGUUCCUUCCAGGGUCAGCCAUCCGCACUAAAGACUGUGCCCUGGCUGGAGGGGUGAGUUAUCUAAAAGAAACCACCACAGCCCCAGAGUGACUGUUGACAAGGGCUGCUACCCCACAAGGAUACUGUGAUGCCAUGCCUGGCCAUGAGGCCGUGCAGGGUGGUCCUUUGGAAGAAAUGAACUCCAAGAUUGCCUACUUGGAAAUUCUUCUUUUUUGGAUGGGAUAAGUAUUGCUGACAUCAUGAAGCACAAGUGGAGAAGAAGGAAGUGUCAGGAAUGCCACACACAGAGGAGAAAAGAAGAUGGAGGAAAAGGAAAGGAACUCUGGGCACAGUAACCAACCUCAAAUCAGGCCUCAGGUCAUGUAAUUAGACUGUAGGGGAAUCUCGAGCCUCUUAAUACCUUGAGCAGCGUGACCGCCCUGUAAGCUGGGUCCCGGUCUGUGCUAUUGUGUCGUUUUGACAUUCUGCUCCGUUAUCUGGCUAUUGAGGGUGACUGCCCUGUCAUCGGGGUGCACGUCUCCUCCCCCUGUCUUUGGAGGGGCAUUGAGCUCUUUGUUAAUCUGAGCAAUGUGACCGCUCUGUAUCUGGGGUCUGGGUCUCUGCCCUCUUGCUCAUUUGGCUUUACGCCGUGCUCUGCCCCAUUAGUCAGCGUGACAACCCUGUAAUUAGGGUCUAUGUCACAAGCCUCUCUAGGAUAGGACAUAUUGAGCUCUUUGGUACUUUGAGAGCUUGACCUUCCUGUCAUUCAGGUUAUGGUCUCUCCUCUUUGGCUAAUGCCAGCGACCACGCUGUAAUCAGGGUACAGGUUGCAUCUCGCUUUUGAAAUCUGGGUAAUUAGAAUCAUUUCCGUUAUGUGGGCAGCUUGGCCUCCCUGUAACUAGGGUGUGCGUCUCCGAGGCCCUCUGGGUCUCUUGGCCUCGUGCUGUCUUCACAACCUGUUGCGAACGACUUCCCUGUAAUCAGGGAUCGGGUCUGUGCCCUCUAGUCUCUUGGCACUUGGCCAAAUGCAGCCACUGCCCUGAAUGAGCACCCUGUAAACAGGGUACAGGUCUUAUCUACUACUAUUUCUGGCACCCCCAUGAGACUGUGUCCAGAGUUCCGGCCCAUCCAACAGCGCUUCCAACAUGCCUGGAAUUCUGCAGCCAAGUCUCCUGCUUUCUACUCACUUCUUGGACUCUUGGAGACCUGACAUGCUAUUGGUGGUACGAUCCGAAAGUGAGUGUCCGGGGCGGUUUUGGACCGUUGUCGAAAGCGGUUCUCAUUUACACACGCCUUGUGCUCCCUCUCUCUGAUUCAGGCAUCAUGAAGCAGAAGUGGAGAAGAAGGCCUAACUUGUGUAUUUCUCACACAUUUCUAAAAGGAAGCAAACAAAACUAAAUGUUCUGGCAACUGGCAGUUACUCUCCGCACUUCACAACUUUCAAACACCUACUCUACUUAAAUGGUCACACCAACCAAAGUGUACCACACAUUCAAUAUUAACUUUGCACCUAUUGUGUCAGAAGUGAGAGUGUUUUUAGUAGUUGUGUCCAUUGGUGGAAGUGGCAGUCGUGGUGUUUUAGUAGUCUUUUACGCUUCUUGAAUUCAAAGGAUGAUGAUGUGGAUGUUUUAGGUAGGUAUUUUUCUGUUAAGUCUUGGUAUUUGGGUAGAGGUGCAGUAUUUUGUGAUUAUGACUAUUUUUCUGGUAUUGGUUUAGUGUGAAUUGUUGGCAAUUUUAGAUGUUUUUGUAUCCGUACAUUAGUAGAUGUCUUUAGAGGGGAAAGCUGAGGUUGCCUGUUUGGUGAAAUUUGAUUGGUGUGAAAGUUAAUUUCGGGUAGGUGUUUGAAAGCACUGAGGUUUGAAUUUUUAGCUCAACAGGGAUGCAGGAUCCACCUGGCUACCUCAGUUCUUACUGUCAUUCCUAAUUCCAAAAUCUGGGAUGAAGAUGACCAGGCAGAAUAAAGAUAUCUCCAGAGACUUUCAAGAGGGUAGCAUUUCUGCAGCUUUAGGGGAUCCCUUAAACCUUAUUGAGCUUUUCAAAGUGUAAUAAUUGUGGAAAACUUCCACUUCUGCCAAUUCCAUGUUGAACAAUGACCUGUAUUAAAGGACUUACACUGGUAGUUAAUUCUGUUCUGUAUUAAGAUGAUUUUGCUAAAAUCGCCGCUUUCUGAUGUGUGAAAUGAAUUAUCUAGGUCUGAUUAUACCUAUUUGAUAAAAGUGUGAUAACGACCCCAUGUUAAAUGCAUGGAUUGAACUUUGAUUGUCAUAUCACAUUGCUUUGCUUUC